CACCUGACUGUCCAGCUUAUAAGCUUAGGUGAAAAGUUCUUCUGUUUUCCCUUGAUAUCUAUUUAUCUUGAAUUUUGUAAUGAUAAAUUCUAAGACAAUGAAUAACCUUCUUCAAUAGUGGUCUCCUGAUAGAUGUUGAAAUCUUUAUUCUUGGCUCUGGUGUUCCAGAAUGGCUCCAGUUAUGUCUGAAUGCUCAUCAUCCCCACCCCUGUGGGCCACUUUGCACACACUAGAUAAAAGACUGAAGCAGAAGCAUUUCAGCCAUAGUGCCUCAAUAAACUCAUGAGGCUCUCUAUCCAUUUUCCUUCCUUUUCUUGUCCUUUAGCCAGAAAAUCAAAGGACUUUUACACUGCUUUUAUACAAUUGUUUGAGUUUCAUGAAUUCUCAGUAGCAAGAAUUGGGCUGAGUACUGGAAAUGCUUGGACCACUGUGGUCAUCAGUCAGCAGAAAAAUGUUAAGAACAAGGUCGGCUCUUAUUAAGAGUUUUUGGGAUAAUAAGCGAUUCCAUUACAAAGGCCUAUUAUCUGGAUUAUUGGGAGAAUUUAUGAUUGAUCUAUGCUUCUUGAUAUCAGAGAGGACAAGUAGUUUUACCUCAGACAAUUUCACUCUCAUUACAUACAGGAAUGGAAGAGUCUGUAUUGUUUAAAGUAUCUUUUUUAUUACUAUUUUCUCUAAAAUCCCUCCAUCCCAAACCUCCAUCCAUUACAAUUUGAACACAAAUAUCCUGUACCUCUGUGUCUUGUUCUAAAAUAGGAUCUUUAAAUAUGUCAUCUUAAAGUAGACACGUUCCAAAUGAUUCAUAUGCAAGCAUUAGGUAGGAAAUAUUUUUUAUGUAAAUUAAUAAAAAUACUCUAGCAACAUGGAAAUAUUUUGGUCAUGCUUCCCACUUGCAACAAUUAUAAUUAUAUUGCAAAAUAUUUAAAAAACCAGUGUUUUGAUGGCAUGGGGGUAUCUAUCUAAAACAGGGCAGAAAUUGAGGAAAUUAGAUUCUUACAAAAAUGGAAGUACAUGGGAUCUAAUCAUUCAUAACUUUUUUAUUUGAGGGUAAACCCUAAAUUCCUAGGUACAGUAUAGUGAAGUAAUAGUCUUAAUUAUUUGAUGUGUCUGAAUACAGAGCUCAAGGACAAUAGAGUAGACUUUAAAAACAAAAACUAGAUUAGCAGAAGUCCAGAGAAAAAAGCAGAAGAGAGGAGUUGAACUCUAAAAUUUCUUUGUAAAUUUUUUCCAAAUCAUUCCUCGAUCACUGAAUUAUGCACUUGGCAAGGAAACUGCAGGGUUCCUAUAAAACCAAUAACUGAAUCUGACAGAGCUAAUUGAAGAUUUCUGCUGCAUUCCACUCCAGAGAAAACAAAGUUUGGAAUCUGUUACAGAGAUGUUAAUAGUCUCCUAGAACAAAAAUUAACUCUCUUUAAAGCAAUAUAGCUAAAUUGAGGUUUCUACAAUAUACCAAUAAAAAUGUCUAUUUUAAGGCAAAAAAUUAUCAGACAUAAUAAGAAAUAGAAAAGUAUAACUCAUGCUCAUGAAAACAAUUAUGAGUUAGUUGUUCAAUAGAAACAGAUCCUCAGAUGACCCAGAUACCAGAAAAAAAACCAGAAAAUAGCUUUAAAAGAGCUAUUUUAAAUAUGUUCAGGAACCUAAAGAAAAUAUAGUCAAAAUGAGUCAAAAUGUAAUGUCUCUCUGAAGAGAAAUGACAAUUAUAAAAAAUAAAAACAAAUGGAAAUACUAGAAUUUUAAAGUGUAUUCAGUAGUUCCCAUUGUGGCUCAGCAGGUUACAAACUAAUAUCCAACUAUUACCCAACUAAUAUCCAUGAGGGUGCAGGUUCCAUGCCUUGACUUUUUCUCAGUUCAUUAAGGAUCUGGUGUUGUCUUGAGCUGUGGUGUAGGUUUCAGACAUGACUUGGAUCCCACAUUGUGGCUGUGGUGUAGGCGGGCAGCCACAGCUCUGAUUUGACCCCUAGCCUUGGAACUUCCAUAUGCUUAAGAUGUGGCCCUAAAAAGAAAAACAAAACAAAAAAUAAAGUGUAAUCAGUGAAAGAAAAAAAUUCACUGAAUGGGCUUGAUAGUAGUGUUUAGAAUGCAGAAGAAGCCAGUGAACUUUGAGAGAUAGCAAGAGAAAUUAUCCAGUUUGAACAACAGAGUCUCGGUAUUUGAUGGGACAAAUUUAAGAGGUCGAAAGUUCAUGUAAUUUGGAGGCCUAGAAGAUGAAGAAAGAGACAAUAAAACAGAAAAGGUAUUAAAAAGAUAAUAGUGGAAAAUUUCCCAAAUUUGAUGUAAAUUUCUCUCUGCAGUUUGAAGGAGCAAAGUGAAUGUUAAACAAGAGAAAUACAAAGAAAACCAAGCCUAAAUCUUUCAUAGCACAACUAAUAAGACGCAAAGGUAAGGAAAGGAGCCUAAGAAAACUGAAACAUUAGAUGCAAGGAAAAAAUAAGAAUGAUACUGCUCUCUUUUAAGAAAAAAGUAGGAGGCCAGGAAGAAAUGGAGCAAAAUAUUUAUAGUACUAAAAGGAAACAAAAAUAUGAAAACAGCAAUCUAUGUUUAGCAACUCUAGUCUUUAAACUGAACUUGAAAUAAAGACAUUUUCAGAUAAAAGAAAACUAAGAAAAUUAUUUUUCCAGGAGAUCUGAAUUACAAAAAAUGCUAAAGGAUAUUUGGGCUAAAGUGAAGUAACAUGAGAUAGAAAUUCAGAUUUACAUUUAGAAAUAAAGACCACAGGAAAUAAUAAAUAUGUGGGAGAGAAAGUUCUAAUUUUACAAAAAGACAUAUGGAUGUUGGAAAUUAAAAUUAUUACACAAUACACACUUUAUAGCAAUAGCACAAAGAUUGUAGAGAUAAUUGGAAUAAUACUGUUAUAAGGUUUAUACAUUCUACACUAAGUACUGCAAUAUUAACACUAAGUAGAUCAUGACAAGUAAAAGACUGAAAUCCCAAAAUUCAGUCAACAAAGCUAUUUAAGUCAAUAAAUUGCAGGAAUGAGGGAUGGAGGAAUUAAAAAAACUGAUAGAAUAAAGAAAAACAAAUAGUAAAGGGGACCUAAGUUCAAUGAUGUCAAUAAUUUUAUUAAUUAGGAUAAACCCUAUAAUUAAAAAGCAGAUUGCCAGUGUGGAUUUAAAAGAAAAUCCGGGAGUUCCCAUUGUGGCUCAGUGGUUAACGAACCCAACUAGCAUCCAUGAGGACAUGGGUUCGAGCCUUGGCCUUGCUCAAUGGGUUAAGGAUCCUGUGUUGCUGUG
RNAcentral lists this long non-coding RNA (3227 nucleotides) under Sus scrofa (pig). RNAcentral's name for it is "lncRNA (ENSSSCG00000058602.1)". Lineage: Eukaryota; Metazoa; Chordata; Mammalia; Artiodactyla; Suidae. The record is from RNAcentral.